UACGAAGGGGGCUAGCGUUGUUCGGAAUUACUGGGCGUAAAGCGCACGCAGGCGGUCCGUUAAAUUAGAAGUGAAAGCCCUGGGCUCAACCCGGGAAUUGCUUUUAAGACUGGCGGACUAGAAUCCGGAAGAGGGUAGCGGAAUUCCCAGUGUAGAGGUGAAAUUCGUAGAUAUUGGGAAGAACACCGGUGGCGAAGGCGGCUACCUGGUCCGGCAUUGACGCUCAGGUGCGAAAGCGUGGGGAGCAAACAGGAUUAGAUACCCUGGUAGUCCACGCCAUAAACGAUGGGUGCUAGUUGUUGGGGCGCUUGCGCUUCAGUGACGCAGCUAACGCAUUAAGCACCCCGCCUGGGGAGUACGGCCGCAAGGUUAAA
Molecule: ribosomal RNA, 374 nt
Filed under: uncultured bacterium
Lineage: Bacteria
Description: bacterial SSU rRNA
Rfam family: Bacterial small subunit ribosomal RNA
Source: RNAcentral